CAGAGACUUAGAUGUGACCUAAAAAUACAGUAUUUCCUGUAAGAGGCACUUUUAUUCUACAACUUUGCUGAGCUGAUUUUGAUGUUUACCUCAGCGUGAGAUGAACUUUACAUACGAGGCCUUUUUCGUCAGAUCAUGGCCUUGGGUAGAAGUACUGGAGGCACUGAGCUGCUAGGGUGGCAUGUCUAACUAGAAUUACAUUGAAGGCACAUGAUUGCAGUAAUUCUGUCAGGCUGCCAGAAAAGUUAA
RNAcentral lists this long non-coding RNA (249 nucleotides) under Parus major (Great Tit). RNAcentral's name for it is "lncRNA (ENSPMJG00000010417.1)". Lineage: Eukaryota; Metazoa; Chordata; Aves; Passeriformes; Paridae. The record is from RNAcentral.